AUGGAGAUUGCCAUGGGGGCUAUCGGCCCUCUCCUCCCGAAGCUUGGCGAGCUGCUCAUCGGCGAGAUCACCCUGGAGAAACAAGUGAGAAAGGGCAUCGAAUCUCUCAUAACAGAGCUGAAAUUGAUGCAGGAUGUUCUCAACAAGGUGUCGAAAGAGCCGGCAGACCAGCUUGACGAGGGGGUCAAGAUCUGGGCAGGAAAUGUCAAGGAGUUGUCCUACCAAAUGGAGGACAUCGUUGAUGCUUUCAUGAUGCGUGUGGGGGAUGGCGGCGAGUCCACCAACCCGAAGAACAGAGUCAAGAAGAUACUCAAGAAGGUCAAAAGAUUAUUCAAGAAUGGCAAGGAUCUCCAUCGGAUCUCCGAUGCUCUUGAAGAAGUUGUUCUUCAAGCGAAGCAGUUGGCCGAGCUGCGUCAAAGGUACGAGCAAGAGAUGCGGGACACUAGUGCUAAUACUAGUGUUGACCCUCGCAUGAUGGCCUUGUACACAGAUGUGACAGAGCUCGUCGGCAUUAAAGAAACACGGGACAAGUUGAUCAAAAUGUUGACUGAAGGUGAUGAUUGGUCGAAGCAUCCGUUGAAGACGAUAUCUAUUGUUGGAUUUGGUGGGUUAGGCAAGACGACUCUUGCCAAAGCAGCAUACGACGAGAUCAAAGCGAAAUUUGAUCGUGUUGCUUUUGUCUCGGUUUCGCAAAACCCUAAAAUGAAAAAGGUUUUGAAGGAUAUUCUCUAUGGACUUGACAAGGUCAAGUACGAAAACAUACAUAAUGCAGCGAGGGACGAAAAGUAUCUCAUAGACGAUAUAAUUGAAUACCUUAAUGACAAGAGGUAUCUCAUCGUAAUCGAUGACAUAUGGGAUAAAGAAGUGUGGAAAUCAAUCAAGUGCGCUUUCUCCAAGAAGAGCCCUGGAAGCCGACUAAUCACGACAACCCGCAAUGUUAGUGUCUCUGAAGCAUGUUGCUCUUCUGAGGGUGAUAUUUAUAGGAUGGAACCCCUUUCUGAUGAUGUAUCAAGAACACUCUUCUAUAAAAGAGUAUUUUCUCAUGAGGAAGGGUGUCCCCAAGAGUUGGUGCAAGUAUCCAAAGACAUUUUGAAGAAAUGUGGUGGCAUACCAUUAGCUAUUAUUUCUAUAGCAAGUCUUCUGGCUAAUAAUCAUCAGAUUAAAAAAAAGGACCAAUGGUAUACCUUGCUUAAUUCCAUUGGUCGUGGAUUGACAGAAGAUCAAAGUUUGGAGGAGAUGAAAAAGAUAUUAUUAUUCAGCUAUUAUGAUCUACCCUCAUAUCUGAAACCUUGUUUAUUAUAUCUUAGCAUCUUCCCAGAAGACCACAAGAUUAUGAGAGAUAGACUGAUAUGGAGAUGGAUAUCCGAAGGUCUUGUUUACAGUGAUAAAGAAGAAACUAGCUUAUAUGAGCUCGGUAAUAGCUACUUCAAUGAGCUAGUAAAUAGAAGUAUGAUCCAGCCAAUAGGCAUUAAUGUUGAAGGAAAUGUAGAAGGUUGCCGUGUACAUGACAUGGUGCUUGACCUUAUAUGCUCAUUAUCAAGUGAAGAAAACUUUGUCACAAUACUAGAUGACACCAGAAGAAAAAUACCUAACUCAGAGAUCAAGGUUCGCAGAUUGUCCAUUCAAAAUACCAAGAUAGAUGUGGAUACCACUAGGAUGGAACAUAUGAGAUCUCUUACCAUUUUCACAAGUGAUGUUGUUGGGAAAGUGUUGGAUAUUUCAAGCUUUCAAGUUCUGCGCGUGUUGGAUUUAGAAGGUUGUAAAAAUGUCUCAGAUGUUGGGUAUGUGGGGAAUCUGUUGCAUUUGAGGUACUUGGGGCUAAAAGAUACUCAUGUUAAGGACCUUCCGAUGGAAAUAGGGAAGCUGCAGUUUUUGCUUACCUUGGACUUGAGAGGGACUAAGAUAGAAGUACUGCCAUCGAGUGUUGUUCAACUAAGACGUCUAAUGUGCCUGUAUGUUGAUUAUGAUAUGAAGCUGCCAUCUGGGAUAGGUAACCUGGCAUCCCUAGAAGUGCUAGAUGACCUGGGGUUAUCUGACGUGGACCUUGAUUUUGUGAAAGAAUUGGGCCAUCUGACCAAGCUCAGGGUGCUCCGGCUUGAUUGCUAUAGUUUUGAUGAGAGCCUGGGUAAAGCUUUGAAGGAAUCCAUUAGUAAUAUAUACAAACUGGACAGUCUAGACGUAUAUGUCGAUGAUGGACUCAUCAAUUGCCUGAGCGAAGAUUGGGUGCCUCCUCCACAACUCUGUAGAUUGGCUUUCCAGUCAGAUGUAAGUUGGUUCAAGACAUUGCCGCCAUGGAUUAAUUCUUCAUUGCUUCCUCUCCUCUCCUAUCUGCAUAUAACGGCGUUCAAAGUGCGACCGGAGGACAUCCAGCUUCUUGGCAUGCUGCCUUCUCUUCGUGUUCUCUGGGUGAUGGAUUAUUCUCAGUCCCGAAGAGGAGAGGAUGUGGUGGAAAUGCCUAUGCUUUCCUCUGGUGCGUUAUUCCCAUGUGCGACAGAGUGUAACUUCACUAGUAUUGGUGCCGUGCCGUCUAUGUUUCCACACGGAGCUGCGCCAAGGCUUCAACACCUUGGGUUCGCCUACCCAACCAAGUGGAUUUCCGGCACCUCCCUUCCCUCCAGCGAGUCAAGGUUCGUGUUAUCAACCCCCGCAAAAAGAAAAAGGUCGGUGUUAUCAUGGAGGAAGCUUAGUUUGGGUAUGCGGCACCUCCCUUCCCUCCAGCGAGUCGAAGUUGAUGUUAUCAAUGAGGGGGCUAUUUCCAGCAAUCAGGAGGUGGAUGAAGCGAUGGUUGCGCUGAACGCCGCCACGCAGGACCACCCCAACCGUCCUGCCCUUAAGAUUGAGUUUGUAGACCGUGGUGUAAGAUGUUCAUCCAGAGGCGGGCGAAGCGAGGCAUGCGAUGCGAUUGAGUUUCAGGCAGCCCGAGUGCUUAGGUCGAUUCAUCCAAUCUUGCACCCAGGUAGCAUGAGCUAA
This 2970-nucleotide ribosomal RNA is filed under the name Triticum aestivum (bread wheat). RNAcentral's name for it is "partial small subunit ribosomal RNA". Lineage: Eukaryota; Viridiplantae; Streptophyta; Magnoliopsida; Poales; Poaceae. The record is from RNAcentral.